Molecule: long non-coding RNA, 281 nt
Filed under: Elaeis guineensis (African oil palm)
Lineage: Eukaryota; Viridiplantae; Streptophyta; Magnoliopsida; Arecales; Arecaceae
Description: long non-coding RNA (EGUI_LNC070717)
Source: RNAcentral
GUUAAUGGCAUAUCCCUUCCACUGAUCUCACUUACCUAGCCAACCUGGUGAGUUAGGUUUUGAUUAGAUCACUUGGUGAUUAGGGCUCACCCAUGUCAUUAGAUAAAUUAGUGUGACUGAUUUAGGUGCUCCUAAUGCCGGCUUUAAUUAAAUUCUUUUUAAUCUGACUUGGUGAAGUCACUAGGAGGAUUUAAAUUGGCUGGUUAAUUUUUUCUCUUCUAUCCUUUAAUAAAAUCCUCAAAAAUUAUUAGGUCCCUAAAAAUAAUUAAGUUAUAGUGAUA